CAGAACCCUGGGAGAAAGGGAUUUGGGUGGAAAAGGUAGCUAAUAGGAGGGAGCAAAUUCAAGGAUAGAGCUUCUCCCAGGAUGUAUGCAGUUGACUUUCUUACCUCCCAGGAGCUCGCCAUCAAGUCUACAGCCUGAAGCACAGGUUGGGGGGUCCUAGGCCCAUUGUCUGCUGUAAAGGUCUAGGGUGAGGUGGGAGUCCUGUCCUUGCAUUGAUUGGGGUGGGCGGUGGUGGCCUGGCCUCAGCUCAGGGUGUGCAUAUGUAUGUGUGGCAGGUCCUACAUGAGGUCAGCAAUGGCAGCGUGGUGCACCGACUCUGCAGUGAUUCUUGCUUCUCCAAAUUCCGAGCCAACAAGGGACUGAAAACCAACUGUUGUGACCAGUGUGGGGCUUACAUCUAUGCCAGGCCUGGGGGCCUUGGCCCAGAGCUCCUGUUCCAUGAUGGUCAACAAAAGCGGUUUUGCAACACAACGUGCUUGGGGGCAUACAAGAAGGUGGGGCCGAGGGAGUAGUGCAUUAGAGGGCUAUGGAAGGGGGUGUGGUUCUUGGGUGAUAAAUAAAGGUGCCUGAAGGGUCGAGGGCUGGGAAAAAUAAAACAAA
This 600-nucleotide long non-coding RNA is filed under the name Rattus norvegicus (Norway rat). Its description in RNAcentral is "long non-coding RNA NONRATT031062". Lineage: Eukaryota; Metazoa; Chordata; Mammalia; Rodentia; Muridae. The record is from RNAcentral.